UACCGCUAUUGGAGUUCGAUUAAGCCAUGCGAGUCGCGAGAAAUUAGAUUCUCGGCGUACCGCUCAGUAACACGUGGGUAACCUGCCCUAUGCUGGAUAAUAACCUCGGGAAACUGAGUAUAAUGAUCCAUAGUUCACUACGCCUGGAACGGUGAGUGGACGAAAGCUCCGGCGGCAUAGGAUGGGCCUGCGGCGUAUCAGGUUGUAGGGGGUGUAACGUACCCUCUAGCCCUCUACGCGUACGGGUGUUGGGAGACAUAGCCCGGAGAUGGAUUCUGAGACACGAAUCCAGACCCUACGGGGUGCAGCAGGCGCGAAAACUUGGCAAUGCGAGAAAUCGUGACCAGGGAACUCCAAGUGCAUCGGGUAAGACCGGUGCUUUUCUUGACUCUAAAUAGGUCUUGGAAUAAGGGGUGGGUAAGGACGGUGCCAGCCGCCGCGGUAAUACCGGCGCCUCAAGUGGUAGUCGCUUUUAUUGGGCUUAAAACGUCCGUAGCCGGUCUGAUACAUUCGUGGGUAAAUCAACCAGCUCAACUGGUUGAAUUCUGCGAGGACGGUCAGACUUGGGACCGGGAGAGGUGUGGGGUACGCUCAGGGUAGGGGUAAAAUCCUGUCAUCCUGAGCGGACCACCUGUUGCGAAGGCGCCACACUAGAACGGAUCCGACGGUCAGGGACGAAGCCUAGGGGCACGAACCGGAUUAGAUACCCGGGUAGUCCUAGGUGUAAACGCUGUGGACUUGAUGUUGGGGGUGCUCCGAGCAC
This 763-nucleotide ribosomal RNA is filed under the name uncultured marine archaeon. RNAcentral describes it as "bacterial SSU rRNA". It matches the Rfam family "Archaeal small subunit ribosomal RNA", at positions 25 to 792 of the family's 1478-position model. The record is from RNAcentral.